This 854-nucleotide ribosomal RNA is filed under the name Amolops larutensis (Larut sucker frog). RNAcentral's name for it is "partial 16S rRNA". It matches the Rfam family "Bacterial large subunit ribosomal RNA", at positions 1580 to 2588 of the family's 2925-position model. The record is from RNAcentral. Lineage: Eukaryota; Metazoa; Chordata; Amphibia; Anura; Ranidae.
UAAAGCUUAAUAUAUCGUGCCCCAAAUACCAUUAAUCACCCCCAACCCUUCAACACCACUGAACCACUUUAUAAACAUAUAAAAGCUAUUAUGCUAGAACUAGUAACAAGAAAUAGACUUUCUCCUCAAUGCACGCUUGAACCAAAUCGGACCAUCCAUUGGUAAUUAACGUUAAUGUAAAAGUUAUAGCAUAUUUGACUAGCAAACCCUAUUACACCUCAACGUCUACCUAACACCAGAGCAUUAAAGAAAAGAUUAAAAAAGAAAGAAGGAAUUCGGCAAAUACUAGCCCCGCCUGUUUACCAAAAACAUCGCCUCUUGUCUAAAUAUAAGAGGUCCAGCCUGCCCAGUGACAUAGUUCAACGGCCGCGGUACCCUAACCGUGCGAAGGUAGCAUAAUCACUUGUUCUCUAAAUAAGGACUAGUAUCAAUGGCAUCACGAGGGCUACACUGUCUCCUUUCUUAAAUCAGUGAAACUGAUUCUCCCGUGAAGAAGCGGGAAUACCCCUAUAAGACGAGAAGACCCCAUGGAGCUUUAAACUCAACGCACACCUCCUGAGUACCUAAACCCCCAUAACCAAUUUAAAUUGUGCGCUAGUUUGGGUUGGGGAGACCGCGGAGUAAAACUUAACCUCCACAACAAACGGAUUAACACCCUUAUCUAAGAACCACACCUCUAAGAAUCAGCAAACUGAUGUCCCAUGACCCAUUUUAUGAUCAACGAACCAAGUUACCCUGGGGAUAACAGCGCAAUCUACUUCGAGAGCUCAUAUCGACAAGUAGGCUUACGACCUCGAUGUUGGAUCAGGGAAUCCCAGUGGUGCAGCCGCUACUAAAGGUUCGUUGUCAACGAU